This 1445-nucleotide ribosomal RNA is filed under the name Lichinodium sirosiphoideum. Its description in RNAcentral is "SSU rRNA". It matches the Rfam family "Eukaryotic small subunit ribosomal RNA", at positions 86 to 1577 of the family's 1831-position model. Lineage: Eukaryota; Fungi; Ascomycota; Leotiomycetes; Leotiales; Lichinodiaceae. The record is from RNAcentral.
ACUGCGAAUGGCUCAUUAAAUCAGUCAUAAUUUAUUNNAUAGUACCUCACUACUUGGACAACCGUGGUAAUUCUAGAGCUAAUACAUGCUAAAAACCUCGACUUCGGGAGGGGUGUAUUUAUUAGAUAAAAAACCAAUGCCCUCCGGGGCUCCUUGGUGAUUCAUGAUAACUUAACGAAUCGCAUGGCCUUGUGCCGGCGAUGGUUCAUUCAAAUUUCUGCCCUAUCAACUUUCGAUGGUAGGAUAGUGGCCUACCAUGGUUUCAACGGGUAACGGGGGAUUAGGGUUCUACUCCGGAGAGGGAGCCUGAGAAACGGCUACCACAUCCAAGGAAGGCAGCAGGCGCGCAAAUUACCCAAUCCCGAUACGGGGAGGUAGUGACAAUAAAUACUGAUGCAGAGCUCUUUAGGGUUUUGCAAUUGGAAUGAGUACAAUUUAAAUCCCUUAACGAGGAACAAUUGGAGGGCAAGUCUGGUGCCAGCAGCCGCGGUAAUUCCAGCUCCAAUAGCGUAUAUUAAAGUUGUUGCAGUUAAAAAGCUCGUAGUUGAACCUUGGGCCUGGCUGGCCGGUCCGCCUCACCGCGUGCACUGGUCCGGCCGGGCCUUUCCUUCUGGGGAGCCGUAUGCCCUUCACUGGGUGUGCUGGGGAACCAGGACUUUUACUUUGAAAAAAUUAGAGUGUUCAAAGCAGGCCUAUGCUCGGAUACAUUAGCAUGGAAUAAUAAAACAGGUGAGGGGGGAAUUCUUCCGAGUAGUCGAACAAUAGCUAAUUGUGCCAACAGGACGUUGUGGUUCUAUUUUGUUGGUUUCUAGGACCACCGUAAUGAUUAAUAGGGAUAGUCGGGGGCAUCAGUAUUCAAUUGUCAGAGGUGAAAUUCUUGGAUUUAUUGAGGACUAACUACUGCGAAAGCAUUUGCCAAGGAUGUUUUCAUUAAUCAGUGAACGAAAGUUAGGGGAUCGAAGACGAUCAGAUACCGUCGUAGUCUUAACCAUAAACUAUGCCGACUAGGGAUCGGGCGAUGUUAUAUUUUGACUCGCUCGGCACCUUACGAGAAAUCAAAGUUUUUGGGUUCUGGGGGGAGUAUGGUCGCAAGUCUGAAACUUAAAGAAAUUGACGGAAGGGCACCACCAGGAGUGAACCGCAGGGACUCUGCUCCUUGAAACGGCCCGCAGAGGGCGGUGGGUGGCCCCAAAAAUCGUUUCCAGCGCAAGGCCCAGUGCCUGCGCGACAUGCCUGGAGUGCGGGAAGAUUCUAAUGCUCCAGCUACCGAGUCCUGGCCGAAAGGCGGGGCGCUGGUAACAAUGCUUGGAGAUGGCACAAUGAAUGACCCGCAGCCACGACCUAAGGCGAGACGCUACGGUGGUGGUUCAGAGAUUACAUAGGUAUGAGUAGGGCCUAGCUNCCAGCGGCACGGGCGCUGCGUAAGGUAUAAUCCGUCCCGGGCU